This 280-nucleotide small nuclear RNA is filed under the name Saimiri boliviensis boliviensis (Bolivian squirrel monkey). Its description in RNAcentral is "7SK RNA (ENSSBOG00000006909.1)". It matches the Rfam family "7SK RNA". From Rfam's summary of the family: 7SK was discovered as an abundant small nuclear RNA in the mid-70s but a possible function has only recently been suggested. Two independent studies have found that 7SK RNA binds the CDK9/cyclin T complex (known as elongation factor P-TEFb). P-TEFb activates transcription by phosphorylating the C-terminal domain of RNA polymerase II. Lineage: Eukaryota; Metazoa; Chordata; Mammalia; Primates; Cebidae. The record is from Rfam by way of RNAcentral.
GGAUGUGAGGGUGAUCUGGCUGCGAUAUCUGUUACCCUGCUGAUUGCCAGGGUUGAUUUGGCUGAUCUGGCUGGCUGGACAGCUGCCCCCUUCCUUCCUCAUGGGUCCCAGUGUGCCCCUCCCGACGCUGCGUGGUGUGUUGAAAAGGACAACCAUCCCCAAUAGAGGAGGACAAGUCUUCCAUAUACAAGUAGCUGAACUCCGGUGAGAACAUCCAAACAAGCUCUCAAAAAUGCAAACUGGUUGGGUGCAGUGGCUCACGCCCAGUAAUCCCAGGACU